UACGGAGGAUCCGAGCGUUAUCCGGAUUUAUUGGGCUUAAAGGGUGCGUAGGCGGCCCGUUAAGUCAGGGGUGAAAGACGGUAGCUCAACUAUCGCAGUGCCCUUGAUACUGGCGGGCUCGAAUGGACUAGAGGUAGGCGGAAUGAGGCAAGUAGCGGUGAAAUGCAUAGAUAUGUCGCAGAACACCGAUUGCGAAGGCAGCUGACUAGGGUUCUAUUGACGCUGAGGCACGAAAGCGUGGGGAUCGAACAGG
RNAcentral lists this ribosomal RNA (253 nucleotides) under uncultured bacterium. RNAcentral's name for it is "partial 16S ribosomal RNA". It matches the Rfam family "Bacterial small subunit ribosomal RNA", at positions 524 to 776 of the family's 1533-position model. The record is from RNAcentral.